RNAcentral lists this ribosomal RNA (500 nucleotides) under uncultured Glomus. RNAcentral's name for it is "SSU rRNA". It matches the Rfam family "Eukaryotic small subunit ribosomal RNA", at positions 569 to 1073 of the family's 1831-position model. The record is from RNAcentral. Lineage: Eukaryota; Fungi; Glomeromycota; Glomeromycetes; Glomerales; Glomeraceae.
AGCAGCCGCGGUAAUUCCAGCUCCAAUAGCGUAUAUUAAAGUUGUUGCAGUUAAAAAGCUCGUAGUUGAAUUUCGGGAUCAUUAGGUUGGUCGUGCCUCUGGUAUGUACUGAUCUCGGUGGUUCCUACUUCUUGAAGAACCGUAAUGCCAUUAAUUUGGUGUUGCGGGGAAACAGGACUGUUACUUUGAAAAAAUUAGAGUGUUUAAAGCAGGCAAUCGCUUGAAUACACUAGCAUGGAAUAAUGAAAUAGGACGUUCGAUCCUAUUUUGUUGGUUUCUAGGAUUGACGUAAUGAUUAAUAGGGAUAGUUGGGGGCAUUAGUAUUCAAUUGUCAGAGGUGAGAUUCUUGGAUUUAUUGAAGACUAACUACUGCGAAAGCAUUUGCCAAGGAUGUUUUCAUUAAUCAAGAACGAAAGUUAGGGGAUCGAAGACGAUCAGAUACCGUCGUAGUCUUAACCAUAAACUAUGCCGACUAGGGAUCGGAUGAUGUUAAUUUUUAA